This is a long non-coding RNA of Electrophorus electricus (electric eel), 339 nucleotides long. Lineage: Eukaryota; Metazoa; Chordata; Actinopteri; Gymnotiformes; Gymnotidae. The record is from Ensembl.
AAUUAUCUAAUCUCUUUCCUCACCCUCCCCCAGGUUAAUGGGGCGUGGCGGGCGUACAGACAGCACCUCAUCCCCGACGGUGGGCGGGCGCGCCGAGCCGCAGGAGGCCAGGCAGCCGCUCAGGCAGCCCCCCCUGGGGGCGUGCUCCAUGAGCCUCGACGUGACGGGAGAUGAGGUCACAUCUCCGCCGCCCGGCACACCGGCGGAGCUGAGGAGCGAGGAAGCUUACUCCGCCAAGGGCAGGCUGGAGGAGCAGGAGCCACGCCCUGUACCCCAGAGCGAUAACCUGAUUGACUUCACUGAUCCUAACCCAGGAGUGAGUCCAAAGACACUACAGAC